UGACCAAAUCAAGUGUUACCUGGAAAGAGGAAUGUCAAGGGUGCUUUUUAUAUUAACUCCAAAAUAGCCAUUGGAAAGUUCAAGCCAGAUCUGCGACAGCAAACUGAACAUAAAGUGGCAUACUUGUGUGUCAGGAAACGAGGAACAGUAUGGCUGUACUGAGAAUCUAACCGGGGAUCCCUGCAUCACUACUUACAAAUCCCAUGGAAAUAUAGGAUCCUUGGCUAAUCAAGUGUCAUCUGCAGUGUUACAAAAGAAUAUUGGAUUUAUAUCAAAAA
Molecule: long non-coding RNA, 278 nt
Organism: Saccostrea cuccullata (small rock oyster)
Lineage: Eukaryota; Metazoa; Mollusca; Bivalvia; Ostreida; Ostreidae
Exons: 3
Source: RefSeq, a predicted model, not a curated record